Oreochromis aureus is the source of this 770-nucleotide long non-coding RNA. Lineage: Eukaryota; Metazoa; Chordata; Actinopteri; Cichliformes; Cichlidae. The record is from Ensembl.
GAUCCUAAUCAGCACUCUGUGUAUAUGCAGUCUUAUCUUCCCUCUAUCAAGACAUCUUUUGAUGUGCCUGCCCUAUGUUGACCUCUUUGUUUUUGUGGAUUUUGUUCUCAUUUGGACUUCAUUUCAUUGGCCAUCAAAGCCUGCUAUUUGUUGGGGCUUUCUGACUUCUGCCUCCUACAUGUGGGUCCUUAUUCCUGCUCAUUGCGAUACAUACAAAGGUCAUAACAAGAAGAACAGAUUGUAAUGGAUCUUGUUUCCUUGAACCGCUUGAGUUAAAUAUGUUUCCUUGUGUGACGUGGCAGACUGCAGAUGGGACUCACCCGCUCCAGCUGGAUGUAGAACGUCUGGUCCCAGCUCAGCCUGCUGAUGGCUGCCCAGCGCGUCCGGCCGACCACUCUGCCGUCCAGCCUGAGCACGCCACUGAUCUCUGCGCUGCUCCUUUUAGGGGUCGCCACAGCAGAUCAUCUGUCUCCAUCUCACCCUCUCACUGGCAUCCCCAAACCUCUACUUGUCUUCCUUCAUUACAUCAGGUGCCUGGCAGCUCCAUAUUCAACAUCCUUUGUCCAGUUUAUCCUCUGUCCUUCCUCUGCACAUUUCCAAACAAUCUCAGUCCUGCCUCUAACUUUGUCUCCAAACCGCUCAUCCUCAGCAGUCUCUCUGAUGUCAUUAUUUCUAAUCCUGUCUAUCCUGGUCAUUCCCAAUAAAAAACCUCGACAUCUUCACCUCUGCCACCUCCAGCUCUGCUUUGUGUCUUUUUAUCAGUGCCAACA